RNAcentral lists this ribosomal RNA (393 nucleotides) under uncultured bacterium. RNAcentral describes it as "partial 16S ribosomal RNA". It matches the Rfam family "Bacterial small subunit ribosomal RNA", at positions 523 to 918 of the family's 1533-position model. The record is from RNAcentral.
AUACGGAGGAUCCGAGCGUUAUCCGGAUUUAUUGGGUUUAAAGGGAGCGUAGGUGGAUAGUUAAGUCAGUUGUGAAAGUUUGCGGCUCCACCGUAAAAUUGCAGUUGAUACUGGCUGUCUUGAGUACAGUAGAGGUGGGCGGAAUUCGUGGUGUAGCGGUGAAAUGCUUAGAUAUCACGAAGAACUCCGAUUGCGAAGGCAGCUCACUGGACUGCAACUGACACUGAUGCUCGAAAGUGUGGGUAUCAAACAGGAUUAGAUACCCUGGUAGUCCACACAGUAAACGAUGAAUACUCGCUGUUUGCGAUAUACAGUAAGCGGCCAAGCGAAAGCAUUAAGUAUUCCGCCUGGGGAGUACGCCGGCAACGGUGAAACUCAAAUGAAUUGGCGGGG